CUCCAGACUCCUACGGGAGGCAGCAGUGGGGGAUAUUGCACAAUGGGGGGAACCCUGAUGCAGCGACGCCGCGUGGGUGAAGGAGCGUUUCGGCGCGUAAAGCCCUAUCGGCAGGGAAGAAGGAGGACGGUACCUGACUAAGAAGCCCCGGCUAACUACGUGCCAGCAGCCGCGGUAAUACGUAGGGGGCAAGCGUUAUCCGGAUUUACUGGGUGUAAAGGGAGCGUAGACGGCGAUGCAAGCCAGAUGUGAAAGCCCGGGGCUCAACCCCGGGACUGCAUUUGGAACUGUGUGGCUGGAGUGUCGGAGAGGCAGGCGGAAUUCCUAGUGUAGCGGUGAAAUGCGUAGAUAUUAGGAGGAACGCCAGUGGCGAAGGCGGCCUGCUGGACGAUGACUGACGUUGAGGCUCGAAAGCGUGGGGAGCACACAGGAUUAGAUACCCUAGUAA
This 448-nucleotide ribosomal RNA is filed under the name uncultured bacterium. Its description in RNAcentral is "partial 16S ribosomal RNA". It matches the Rfam family "Bacterial small subunit ribosomal RNA", at positions 329 to 793 of the family's 1533-position model. The record is from RNAcentral.